GAGUAAUGUCUGGGAAACUGCCUGAUGGAGGGGGAUAACUACUGGAAACGGUGGCUAAUACCGCAUAACGUCGCAAGACCAAAGAGGGGGACCUUCGGGCCUCUUGCCAUCAGAUGUGCCCAGAUGGGAUUAGCUUGUUGGUGAGGUAACGGCUCACCAAGGCGACGAUCCCUAGCUGGUCUGAGAGGAUGACCAGCCACACUGGAACUGAGACACGGUCCAGACUCCUACGGGAGGCAGCAGUGGGGAAUAUUGCACAAUGGGCGCAAGCCUGAUGCAGCCAUGCCGCGUGUAUGAAGAAGGCCUUCGGGUUGUAAAGUACUUUCAGCGGGGAGGAAGGUGUUGUGGUUAAUAACCGCAGCAAUUGACGUUACCCGCAGAAGAAGCACCGGCUAACUCCGUGCCAGCAGCCGCGGUAAUACGGAGGGUGCAAGCGUUAAUCGGAAUUACUGGGCGUAAAGCGCACGCAGGCGGUCUGUCAAGUCGGAUGUGAAAUCCCCGGGCUCAACCUGGGAACUGCAUUCGAAACUGGCAGGCUUGAGUC
This 544-nucleotide ribosomal RNA is filed under the name Salmonella enterica subsp. enterica serovar Oranienburg. RNAcentral describes it as "bacterial SSU rRNA". It matches the Rfam family "Bacterial small subunit ribosomal RNA", at positions 108 to 648 of the family's 1533-position model. The record is from RNAcentral. RNAcentral also lists the same sequence under 8 other names. Lineage: Bacteria; Pseudomonadati; Pseudomonadota; Gammaproteobacteria; Enterobacterales; Enterobacteriaceae.